Molecule: ribosomal RNA, 303 nt
Filed under: uncultured bacterium
Lineage: Bacteria
Description: partial 16S ribosomal RNA
Rfam family: Bacterial small subunit ribosomal RNA
Source: RNAcentral
AGCAGUCGCCGCGGUAAUACGAAGGGGGCUAGCGUUGCUCGGAAUCACUGGGCGUAAAGGGCGCGUAGGCGGCGUUUUAAGUCGGGGGUGAAAGCCUGUGGCUCAACCACAGAAUGGCCUUCGAUACUGGGACGCUUGAGUAUGGUAGAGGUCGGUGGAACUGCGAGUGUAGAGGUGAAAUUCGUAGAUAUUCGCAAGAACACCGGUGGCGAAGGCGGCCGACUGGACCAUCACUGACGCUGAGGCGCGAAAGCGUGGGGAGCAAACAGGAUUAGAUACCCGGGUAGUCCCUGUCUCUUAUAC